RNAcentral lists this transfer RNA (98 nucleotides) under Helianthus annuus (common sunflower). RNAcentral's name for it is "tRNA-Thr". It matches the Rfam family "tRNA". From Rfam's summary of the family: Transfer RNA (tRNA) molecules are approximately 80 nucleotides in length. Their secondary structure includes four short double-helical elements and three loops (D, anti-codon, and T loops). Further hydrogen bonds mediate the characteristic L-shaped molecular structure. tRNAs have two regions of fundamental functional importance: the anti-codon, which is responsible for specific mRNA codon recognition, and the 3' end, to which the tRNAs corresponding amino acid is attached (by aminoacyl-tRNA synthetases). tRNAs cope with the degeneracy of the genetic code in two manners: having more than one tRNA (with a specific anti-codon) for a particular amino acid; and 'wobble' base-pairing, i.e. permitting non-standard base-pairing at the 3rd anti-codon position. The record is from RNAcentral. Lineage: Eukaryota; Viridiplantae; Streptophyta; Magnoliopsida; Asterales; Asteraceae.
CUUGCUUUCAUAGCUCAGUUGGUUAGAGCACCCGUUUAGUAAGCGGGAGCUCUUGAGUUCAAACGGGAGGUCUUGAGUUCGACUCUCAAUGAAAGCAG